Molecule: long non-coding RNA, 527 nt
Filed under: Hordeum vulgare
Lineage: Eukaryota; Viridiplantae; Streptophyta; Magnoliopsida; Poales; Poaceae
Description: long non-coding RNA (HVUL_LNC007014)
Source: RNAcentral
GAGCUGAUCACCAAGGUUCAGUCUCGUAUCUCAUAUAAGCCCUAAUUAAGUCUCCUUGUUCUUGUUACAAGUCAUUUAACGUUGAUGUGAUUAGAGAUGUUUCACUGACCUGGAGGUGUGUUAUUACAUAUCAAGCAAUUAAUCUAUUACCUAAAGACAUUUCCGUUGCCUCGGUAUCAUUCCCUAUGUCUAUCUUGAAUUCUUUGCUUAAGAGAAAUUCCUUGAGAUUAGUUUCUUUUUUCUUCACUCCAGUUUUUAUUUGUUCUAUAGUUCACACAUGGUCCCUACAAUGUAACUUAUUGAAUAACAAAGUUUUGCCUUCUAUUCAUUGGAUGUUGUUCCUAUAGUCAGGGAAAAACAUCUACCUAUAAUUGCUGACAUAGUUGCUAGAUUUAUAUGUAUUGAGCAAGAACUCAUUAGAUCGAGAUAAGUCUGACAAGCAGAUCUCUCUUGCAUCUUAUGAAGCAGUGUGGCAGAUUUGGAAAGAAAUAAGUGGAGAUUUCUUUUAGGCCAAAGAUAUGAGUCCG